GCCUUCCAGAUUCCUUACUCCUUGAGAUCUAAACAUUGGUCUGAGUGGCUAUCAAAGGAGGAAAGUAAAACAAGUGGACUUGGCUUUGUUUAGUGGCAUACAAGUUCAUUUCAAACACAU
Molecule: small nucleolar RNA, 120 nt
Filed under: Echinops telfairi (small Madagascar hedgehog)
Lineage: Eukaryota; Metazoa; Chordata; Mammalia; Afrosoricida; Tenrecidae
Description: Small nucleolar RNA SNORA61 (ENSETEG00000026539.1)
Source: RNAcentral